This 335-nucleotide ribosomal RNA is filed under the name Mesorhizobium sp. K13b. RNAcentral describes it as "bacterial SSU rRNA". It matches the Rfam family "Bacterial small subunit ribosomal RNA", at positions 56 to 422 of the family's 1533-position model. Lineage: Bacteria; Pseudomonadati; Pseudomonadota; Alphaproteobacteria; Hyphomicrobiales; Phyllobacteriaceae. The record is from RNAcentral.
UGCAGUCGAGCGCCCCGCAAGGGGAGCGGCAGACGGGUGAGUAACGCGUGGGAAUCUACCCAUCUCUACGGAACAACUCCGGGAAACUGGAGCUAAUACCGUAUACGUCCUUUUGGAGAAAGAUUUAUCGGAGAUGGAUGAGCCCGCGUUGGAUUAGCUAGUUGGUGGGGUAAUGGCCUACCAAGGCGACGAUCCAUAGCUGGUCUGAGAGGAUGAUCAGCCACAUUGGGACUGAGACACGGCCCAAACUCCUACGGGAGGCAGCAGUGGGGAAUAUUGGACAAUGGGCGCAAGCCUGAUCCAGCCAUGCCGCGUGAGUGAUGAAGGCCCUAGGG